GACGAACGCUGGCGGCGUGCUUAACACAUGCAAGUCGAACGAUGAAGCCGGAGCUUGCUCCGGUGGAUUAGUGGCGAACGGGUGAGUAACACGUGAGCAAUCUGCCCUUGACUCUGGGAUAACUGCGGGAAACUGUAGCUAAUACCGGAUACGACACCUUGGGGCAUCCCAGGGUGUGGAAAGAAUUUCGGUCAAGGAUGAGCUCGCGGCCUAUCAGCUAGUUGGUGAGGUAAUGGCUGACCAAGGCGACGACGGGUAGCCGGCCUGAGAGGGUGACCGGCCAAACUGGAACUGAGGCACGGUCCAGACUCCUACGGGAGGGAGCAGUGGGGAAUAUUGGACAAUGGGCGAAAGCCUGAUGCAGCAUCGCCGCGUGAGGGAUGAAGGCCUUCGGGUUGUAAACCUAUUUAGCAGGGAAGAAGCGAAAGUGACGGUACCUGCAGAAAAAGCACCGGCUAACUACGUGCCAGCCGCCGCAGUAA
This 482-nucleotide ribosomal RNA is filed under the name uncultured bacterium. RNAcentral's name for it is "partial 16S ribosomal RNA". It matches the Rfam family "Bacterial small subunit ribosomal RNA", at positions 28 to 523 of the family's 1533-position model. The record is from RNAcentral.